RNAcentral lists this ribosomal RNA (246 nucleotides) under Clostridioides difficile. Its description in RNAcentral is "partial 23S ribosomal RNA". It matches the Rfam family "Bacterial large subunit ribosomal RNA", at positions 2121 to 2365 of the family's 2925-position model. Lineage: Bacteria; Bacillati; Bacillota; Clostridia; Peptostreptococcales; Peptostreptococcaceae. The record is from RNAcentral.
UGCGUGGUACUACAUGUACAGGAGAGGUGGGAGGCUUGGAAAACAGGACGACAGUUUUGGCGGAGCCAUCCUUGGGAUACCACCCUUGUAGUACUGGGACUCUAACCAUAGGCCAUGAAGCUGGUCUUGGGACACUGUCAGGUGGGCAGGUUGACUGGGGCGGUCGCCUCCCAAAAGGUAACGGAGGCGCUCAAAGGUUCUCUCAGUACGGUCGGAAAUCGUACGUAGAGUGUAAAGGCAAAAGAG